This 253-nucleotide ribosomal RNA is filed under the name uncultured bacterium. RNAcentral's name for it is "partial 16S ribosomal RNA". It matches the Rfam family "Bacterial small subunit ribosomal RNA", at positions 524 to 776 of the family's 1533-position model. The record is from RNAcentral.
UACGUAGGGGGCAAGCGUUGUCCGGAUUUAUUGGGCGUAAAGAGCGUGUAGGCGGCCAGGUAGGUCCGUUGUGAAAACUCGAGGCUCAACCUCGAGACGCCGAUGGAAACCACCUGGCUAGAGUCCGGAAGAGGAGAGUGGAAUUCCUGGUGUAGCGGUGAAAUGCGCAGAUAUCAGGAAGAACACCGAUGGCGAAGGCAGCCAUCUGGACCGACACUGACGCUGAGGCGCGAAAGCGUGGGGAGCAAACAGG